GCACUUUCGUGCAUCCUAACCUUUUGUGCGUCGUUCACCCCCUUCGCAGGCUUCUAUGCCCCGGGUCCACAGUCCACACCCGCCGAGGCCACCCCCGUCCUCCCCCACGCGCCGCUCGCGUGAUGCUCGAAUCUACGCUCGCGAUGGUUAUGCCCCGCCGCUCGCUGCCCCAGCCCCCUCCCCUGCGUGCGUGCAUAAAAAGGGAGAGCGACGAUGGAAAUAUUCCGAGCAUGGCUUGAACACCUGGUCAAUGCUAGAUGAUCUGUUGGUUGAAAGACUAGCAAGCUGUCCAAGUGGAACUACGACGGAUCGAGCACCGGCCAAAUCCCAGCUGACACGGUGCGACACCUGCUCCUGAUCCCCUGAGCCGCCUCAUGGUACGAAGCUUCUAUUUUUCGAUUCGGUGGAGCUUUUGAUGCCCGUGAUGGGGAAAGUGGCGUCCUUGUGAAGUAAGGAGUAGAUGGGUGUAUUUGGACUUGGACAUAUUGAUCAAAUUGGAUGAUGCUUCGGUUACUGAAGGUUUGGUGGUUUAGUUCUGGUAGUAUUGCUGAUUUUUGGUUAUAGAAUAAUUAGUAUUUCGACUAUAUAGUUGUCCUUGGCGGCGAUUGGGAUUAGUUGGAGUAUUUGGUUUCAAUGUUCUUGGAAAAUAUAGUAGUCAUUCCCAAUUGAUGCUCUCUCUCUCUCUCUCUCUCUCUCUCUCUCUCUCUUGAUGUUAUUUUUAUUUGAGCGCAGGGGUGCAAUGUCAGAGUUUUCAUGUACCCAAGCAGCAUAUAUGAUUAGGAUCCACAAACCUCUGAUUUUCUCUAUUUUUUGGCUGGUUGAUGUUGAAUUGGUUGUUUGUGACUGAUAUGACAACUAAUUCGGUGGGGAAAUCCACCGGCCGGGUGGCGGAACGCACCCGCCCUAAUUCUAAGAUGAGGAGGGGGCCUAAGCGGUUGCCUGUCUGGUGAAUUCGGGAUGAACACGAGAGGACACGAGAGAUUAUAGUGGUUCAGGCCGCCUGAGCGUAAUACCCUACCUCCACUGUGUGUAAGUUGUAUUGAGUAUGUGUGAUUGAGUCUGUCCUUUGUAACGUUGUGUGUCUUCCCUUUUAUAGUUUAAGGGAGGCACAUACAAGAAUGCUGAGCCCCGACAUGCGGGCUCAGGAGCAUAAUGGAAUAAAUACAUUAUGUGAAUAACUAAUGCUGACAGAGUAACACAUGAGUAAUCAGCGGGAGCCAUGAUGGUUGCAGUCCAUGCAGCAUUGAUAGGUAGUAAUUCUUUUUCCGGUAACGCGGGAGUAAUAGUGAGUCAUUGCUCUCGGUAACGUGUGAGUAACUGCACGGCCAUGUAUCAUGGACUGAGCACGCCGCUUGUCAGUGGAAUGGACAGGCGCACGUCUUAACCGUAAUGAAUGCGAAGGCGCGCGUAGCCCAGAGGCGUCAUGCCAGGUUCUGCCCGUUGGCUUAUGCCGCGCGCAGUAUGCCAUGUGGCAGCAUCGGGUCUCCGCCUGAGCGGGGAGCAGGAGUGUAUGCGGAUAGGUCCAAAUCCCACCGGACCAAGUCUGGACGCGUGUCGGCUCUGGACCCCCGCCUGGGUCCUGAUUAAGGCCCGGGUAUGUUCUGUCCUGGAACCCUGGGACCCCUCUGUGGGCGGCCUGGACCCCACACGGGGGGGGGGGGGGGGGGUCUGGAUCCCAUUCUAGGGGUCCCGGUUCGCACACGUGGAGGUCCUGGGCCAAACUUGUAGGCCUGGACCGUAUAUACAGGGGUCCGGCACUCUCCCAUGGGGGUCCGGACUCACUGUUGAUGCCUUGGAGUACAUCACUUUCUCUGGACACGUGGCGGCCCCGGACCCGCCCAUGUGGUGGGGUCAGUCGCUGUUGCUGGCCCAGAGUAGUCGCCCGAGGCUGGGGCGAGUCAUGGCCUAGUUCCACAUACAACUCUUUUACCACGCGACUAGAGAUAGCCGCAUGGGUACUGCGUGUUUAUACAGUAGUAAGGGGUACCCUAGUUUUAGGGUACCGACAACUACAUAACCUGAAUUUUGUUGUAGUCCAUGGUCUAGGACUUUUAGGUGGUAAACACAUCAUAAUUUGUGGUUACAGUUAAUUUGUUUGUGAAUUGCAUAAGCAUGGUAGUUUUGAAAAUAGUUACUUGUCGCCCGUUCCAUAAUGAUUUAGUGGUGGAUUGAUUUUUCUGUUGGACAAGUUUAGUUUGAAUGCAAAUGGGUUGUACUUAUUGACGGACUGGUUUGGAUUGCAAGAGGAAACAGUUUGGUGUGGUCUUACAAUGGAUUUAUUUCUUUGGGGCCAAACUGUUUCAGCCCUCUGGUUUUGAUAGGGAAGAACAAAGGCAUGGUCACUACUUAGUUUUCCUUCCCCCUUUUUGCUACUCUGUUAGUUUGUUGGACCCAAAUUUUUAGUGGUACAUGUUUCAUAAUAUUAGCUGGUGUUUAAAUAUCUGAAGUAAUGUUUUGAUUUGCUUAUGUUUUAGUGAUGGGAGCAAGUUUUAGAAAUUGACCAAGCUAAUCACAUUCACACCAGUUAGUUACUUGGCAAUUAGCAUUUCCGUGUUUUCGCUUUUUGCUCUUGUGGAAAUCGGCACUAGACCACAUACCUAGAAGAAAAGAUGAUUAUGUAUUGUAGUAAAGAUUUUCCAUUCUUAAAUGCAUGUGAUACUCAAUCUUAGUGCUAAACAUCACUCGUGCAGGUGUGGACACGAGUUCUGCGCUACUCCUGUGGUCAUUGUUUGGAGAAGUUUUCCUAAAGCUUCUUUAUGUAUAUUCUUAGUCUUUUUUUAGAACAAUGUCAUAACCUACUAAUAGUUGUUUAUCACUAUAUUCUUUUGUUCCUACUAUUCCUUGAUAUGCCAGAUCUCAACUUUUGUGCUAAUAUACAUCUCUAGGCAUGUUGUAUGUGCAUCAUUUCAAAAAAAACACUUACCAAAAGAGUGGUCUGUACCAAACAUUUUGCCUUCAAGACUUCAACUCAUAACCUUGUAUAGUCUGAAAUCCUUAGGAUUGGUUCUGAACCUCAGUUUGAUGGAGGUGUUACAAAACUUAGAAGGGAUACUAAAUUUCUCUUUGUAGUAUGAGUGAACAGAAGUAGGAUUUGUCACAAUCUCACUAUUUUACCAAGCUAACCAAAUAACAAAUUUGGCCAGUAUGUAUGUGCAUCAUUUCAAAAAAAACUGUUACCAAAAGGGUGGUAUGUACCAAACAUUUUGCCUUCAAGGCUUCAACCCAUAACCUUGUACAGUCUGGAAUCCUUAGGAUUUGUACUGAACCUCAGUAGGUGUUACAGAACUUAGAAGAGAUACUGGAUUUCUCUUUGUAGUAGGAGUGAACAAAAGUAGGAUUUGUCACAAUCUCACACUUUUACCAAGCUAACUAAAUACCAAAAUUCGGCCAGUUACAGACAGUCAGACACUGAUCUUAACUUGCUCGAACAGUCUUAAACCUUUUUGUAUCAAAGGCUCAUAGCAUAUCAAACGCUUCUAAUGAAACCUUAACACACCGCAAGAAAACACCAAGCAUCGAAUUUGUUCAGUGUGUGUGAAGUAGUAGUGUAUGAUCAUGCCAUACAUAUUUUUCUACACAUCUCAAAUUCUAGAUUUAAUUUGGUUACAUGUUAUACAUGUAUCUUAGAUUUUUGAUAACUGGUCACAGAGCGGUUCAAAUUGAAUUUGACAUGGAGUUCAGAUGUCCUUUCAUAUUCUGUUACUGAGGUUAUUUCCAAAUAGUGAUUCAGAUCUAAUGAUUUUAUGAUGCAAUUUAUUCUACAACAUUUAAAUGCCAGAACGCUCAUUAGAGGCUGAACAUUUAAUGGUUAUAGGAUUAGGCCUAAAACGGCGUUUUGCAGCGAUUAAACGCUACAUUUUUUGUGUUUAAACGCUUUAAGCUAGAAAUGCUGUUGAUUUUGUGUAUUAUAUUUAGAGUAUGACAUUUUUCCAAGAUCUAUGUUUUAAAUGCAAGGAUAUUGAGAUUUUUUAGAUAUUUUAUUUUAAAUGCUAAUUCAUAUAUUUUUUUCCUUGCCGAAUGUAACCCCUAAGAAGACUGAAGAGACUGCUUUGAUAUCUGAUGUUGUUGCAAAUUCACCACAACAAGGUUUUCAUAGUGGGCAUUGCUGGAGUGAUCUCAUCUGAGAUGCUCCUACAAGUCCAACAAUCAGAAGCCCACUUUGUUCAAUGCUAGAUUUUGGCAUAACUCCUAAAAGAGGAGGCGCUUCUGCUCAUGCUAAGAAAGCAAGCUUUGACCGUGAAACCUAAUGGCAGAAAAGUCCUUCCUCCCCCAAGUCCCUAGAGCCUAGACGAAUGGCGCUGCAGCUCACUGUUCCUUCUUCAGUUCACUCAUGUAGUCCUAUUCAUGUAUGAGGUUUUUCCCUUUUAAAUUCAUAUGCAGAACAUGGUUUGAGCCUCCCAUCACUCAGUCCACACUGUAGUUGACAGACAUCAACUGUAUUUGUGGUUUUAAUAGUUUGUAUCAGGAGAGUGCAUCUUGAUUUACUAAAGUUAAUGUAGUCUCAAGUUUAUGUAUAAUCAGUUCUAAUCUUGUUUUUUAUUGAACAAUAUGUGUUUCUAGGUCCAUUAACCAGACUAAAGUAGUGCAUAUUUUAAAUUGAAUAUUUUUCUUCUUUUCGGUGAGAAGUGAAAAGUGGAAGACAUUUCAGUUCUGCACUUUGUAGUUGAAGUUAUCUUCCUGAUUGGAAGAUAAGGAAGGUUUGAGGAGCUCAUUUCUGAAGUUGUAGCUGGAAGGGAGAAGAGCUCAUGUUAAUGGUAUUUUGACUGCUCCAAAACACUUUCGACUUGUGAUAUUCUUUAACCUAUAUGCGUUGAAGAAUUUUUGGAGACAAAGCAUGCAAGCACAGAGUCUGCUCUGGUGGUAAGAUAAGUGAGGUGACUUCUGAAGAAGCCUACAGAGAAUGUAAAAAUAAGUGUGUUAUUUUCACUGCUUUGACACAGUCUCAAUUGUGCAAUGAUUUAUUAUCACAUUGUAAUUUGACAUAUGCUACAUGAUCCUAAAUUAUGUUGUAAUGAAUGUUCUACUCCCUAUGUGUAUUUGUUAGAUAGCUUGUCCAUGUUCUUAACUAUUUUUUGUAAGUGUGAAAGCAACUAGGCCCCUGGUUGGUUUUAGUGAUUAAUGACAAUGUAAUAUUA
Long non-coding RNA from Zea mays, 5135 nucleotides. RefSeq lists it as uncharacterized. NCBI's taxonomy places the organism in Eukaryota, Viridiplantae, Streptophyta, Magnoliopsida, Poales, Poaceae. The transcript is spliced from 5 exons. The record is from RefSeq and is a predicted model, not a curated record.